RNAcentral lists this non-coding RNA (120 nucleotides) under Mycobacterium sp. RNAcentral's name for it is "SAM-IV sequence". It matches the Rfam family "SAM (S-adenosyl methionine) riboswitch aptamer". Rfam says of the family: SAM-IV is a mRNA element that regulates gene expression via direct sensing of S-adenosylmethionine (SAM or AdoMet). SAM-IV riboswitches share conserved nucleotide positions with the previously described SAM-I riboswitches sequence analysis and molecular recognition experiments suggest that SAM-I and SAM-IV riboswitches share similar ligand binding sites, but have different scaffolds. Lineage: Bacteria; Bacillati; Actinomycetota; Actinomycetes; Mycobacteriales; Mycobacteriaceae. The record is from RNAcentral.
GGUCAUGAGCGCCAGCGUCAAGCCCCGGCUUGCUGGCCGGCAACCCUCCAACCGCGGUGGGGUGCCCCGGGUGAUGACCAGGUUGAGUAGCACCAAGCGGCUACAAGGCAAGCGCGGGUC